Molecule: RNA transcript, 2606 nt
Organism: Adelges cooleyi (spruce gall adelgid)
Lineage: Eukaryota; Metazoa; Arthropoda; Insecta; Hemiptera; Adelgidae
Gene name: UDP-glucosyltransferase 2-like
Exons: 8
Source: RefSeq, a predicted model, not a curated record
GUUAUGCAAUCGUUUUUUGUAUAAAUUCAUUAGUUCCUCGAGUCAAACGUUAUUUUUACGUUAGUUUACUUCGGACAUGACGUGUUCAGUGAUAUAAUGUUAUAGCCAACAACAGCAGUGGCAUGUCAGGAAUCUCCUUAAAUUGUCUGCGGUGUUUUGUGUACGUUCUCAUGUUAUUACGCUGUUCGCAAUGUAUCCGGAUAUUAGCUAUUGCACCUUUUCCUACUAAAAGCAACUGGUCUUUCAUGACGGCUGUGCUCCAUUCGUUAACCGACCAAGAUCACAUUGUAACCGUAUUCACUCCAUUUUUAAACGGCAACUAUGCGAAUUAUACCGAAAUUGAUAUUUCUGGCAACCGUCAAUGGACGCAAGUGGAUAUGGAUCUCUCAAAACGUGUCAAAGAUAUAGGAAACUUACAAAAUUUAGCAAUCAAUUCAAUGAAAUUAAACACCCAAAUUUGCGACGAAUUUUAUGCCAACGACAAAUUGAGAGAAAUUAUUAUCGCCGCAUCGUCACUGAGGAAUACUGAACAAUUCGAUGUGAUAUUGGCUCAAACCUUAAGUUCGGAUUGUUUGUCAUGUAUAGCCAGGAUUCUAAAUCUGCCGUUAAUAAAUGUACAUGCAGCACCUUCACUGGCAUUUGAGUCGCCGUUCGUGGGAGAAGAACCCAACCCUGCUUACGUGACAACUGUAUUGUCACCAUUAGGCACGCCAAAAUCAUUCCAAGAACGCGUUCUAAACUCAGCAAUCGCCUUCCAAAGUAAGUUUUACUUUUGGUUUGCGGAGGCAAUGGCCAAGAAGUUGUCUCCUAAACCGUAUGAUCUCAUCGAACCAGUUAAUCCAUCCGCUAUGUUCAUCAACAGCCAUUUAGCCAUUGAACCGGCUAGACCAAACGUGCCUAAUGUUAUUAAUAUCGGCGGAAUACAUCUGAGUGGGCCAAAAGCAAUACCGAAAGAUGUACUUGAUUUUAUUGAAAAUUCGCCGAACGGAGUGAUAUACUUAUCGUUUGGAUCGACAAUAGCUAUGUCAAAAUUACCGGAACGCAUACAAAAAUCAUUUAAGCUAGCCCUUGGACAACUACCUCAGAGAAUAUUAUGGAAAUUUGAAAGUGAAAUGGAAGACAAACCGGAUAAUGUUAUGACGAAAAAAUGGUUUCCUCAACGUGAUAUACUUGUACAUCCAAAUGUAGUAUUAUUUAUUGGGCAUGGUGGAAUAGCGGGAAUAUACGAAGCAAUUGAUGCUGGAGUACCGAUGCUAGGUUUCCCUAUGGUCUUAGAUCAACCAAGGAAUUUGGCAAAUCUCGGAGCAGCUGGAAUGGCUAUUUCAUUACAAUUAAUGAGUGUUACUGAAACUCAAAUUUUGAACUCUGUGCACGAGCUCAUAAACAAUGAAAUGUAUUCACGUAACGCCAAAACUGUUUCUGAACUAUUUAAGGACCGCCCUAUGUCACCACAAAAAUCAGUUGUCUAUUGGACAGAAUACGUAGCUCGUCAUAACCAUAAAAAGUCGCCUUAUUUGAAGUCUGAAGCCUUUGACUUAACUUGGUUUUUUUGUGCUACGGAAAAACUAAUGAACAUGUUUAUCAAUUCCAUACCGUUACAAGACGUGUAGUAGCUUUAAAAACCAUUGGAAUACCAAUGACACCGAUCGUCGUAAUCAGAGCUGCAGUUACUGUCAACUCGAGCGCUGACCAUUCCAUAAACGCAUAAGCUCUUCCACUCUCAAUCGAAUUUGAAACCAUCGAAAAAUAAAGCAGCCCAAAAUGAACGUUAACACAAAUAUCCUCGUCGUACUCGUAGCCUUAUUUUACACAACACAGGCAAAACCAUUUACAUCAGACCAAUCAGACUUGCGUCGGUUAUUCGAACAACUGCAAGACAGCACGAUUAACCUGAAAGAAAAACUAUUCCGGUCGGAUUUCCAAAAAGGAGUAGACAAGUUGGUGGAUAAGAUCAAAGAACCCUUGAGUGAGAUUGAUGAUUUGAUGCAAAAAUGGAGAAAUCGAGUUUUCGGUCAACCCGAUGCCAAGUUAACAGAAUUAGUCGACAACUGGAGAGCCGGUGCAAAAGAUGCGUUUAAUAAUAGUGUUAAAAUACUCAACAGUAACGUAGAAAAAAUCGUCGAUACCAAACUACAAGACAAAUUCAAAAACGCCGUAGACAGCGCUGUCGAUAUUUUGAAAAAAACCGAAAAUGAUAUCUUGAAAUACGCUGGCAAGAAAGAUUAUCGAUAAUUAAGCCUGUGUAUGGAUGCCGAAUUAAAUUUUAAUAAAAUGUACUAAUCCUAUUUUUUUUUAUGCCAAUUUAUAACAUGAAUCCAUUUGAUGUUUUACUAUAAGUAUUACUUAUUUUGUAAUGAAGUGACAAUUUUUUUCUAACAUGUUUGUAAUGAUUGUCCUAAUAUUAAAUAUUACCUAUUAUUCAUAAGUAAUUUUUACAUUUUUUUCUAGUAAUAUAUCUUAUUUUAUACAAUUAAAAUUGUAUGGUAGUAAGAAUAUUAUUUUUUUAAUUUAUCGACUUAUUUAUAUUCAAUAACAAUAUUUUUUUAACACACAUUAUAUUACUGUAAGGCACAAUCUUGUAUUAUAUUAUUAUCUAUAUACAAUCC